This 468-nucleotide ribosomal RNA is filed under the name uncultured bacterium. RNAcentral describes it as "partial 16S ribosomal RNA". It matches the Rfam family "Bacterial small subunit ribosomal RNA", at positions 28 to 507 of the family's 1533-position model. The record is from RNAcentral.
GACGAACGCUGGCGGCGUGCUUAACACAUGCAAGUCGAACGGAAAGGCCCUGCUUUUGUGGGGUGCUCGAGUGGCGAACGGGUGAGUAACACGUGAGUAACCUGCCCUUGACUUUGGGAUAACUUCAGGAAACUGGGGCUAAUACCGGAUAGGAGCUCCUGCUGCAUGGAGGGGGUUGGAAAGUUUCGGCGGUUGGGGAUGGACUCGCGGCUUAUCAGCUUGUUGGUGGGGUAGUGGCUUACCAAGGCUUUGACGGGUAGCCGGCCUGAGAGGGUGACCGGCCACAUGGGGACUGAGAUACGGCCCAGACUCCUACGGUAGGCAGCAGUGGGGAAUAUUGCACAAUGGUCGGAAGCCUGAUGCAGCAACGCCGCGUGCGGGAUGACGGCCUUCGGGUUGUAAACCGCUUUCGCCUGUGACGAAGCGUGAGUGACGGUAAUGAGUAAAGAAGCACCGGCUAACUACGUG